This is a non-coding RNA of Gossypium raimondii (Peruvian cotton), 146 nucleotides long. The record is from Rfam. NCBI's taxonomy places the organism in Eukaryota, Viridiplantae, Streptophyta, Magnoliopsida, Malvales, Malvaceae.
UGUUAAAUUUUUUAAUUCAUUUGUACUAUUAAAAAUUGACAUAGAUGAUGAAAUAAUCAGACAGUGAUACAUGGAGUGCCAUAUGUACCUCGUGCUGGCAUAUAGAGACCAGUUUUAAACAGUAGAAAUGGAUGAGAUUUUUAACU